GACGAACGCUGGCGGCGUGCUUAACACAUGCAAGUCGAACGGGAUUUAGUAGACAGAAGCCUCGGCUAAAGAUUACUAAUGAGAGUGGCGAACGGGUGAGUAACGCGUGAGCAACCUGCCUAUGACAGUGGGAUAGCCUCGGGAAACCGGGAUUAAUACCGCAUAAAAUCGUAGAAACACAUGUUUCAACGGUCAAAGAUUUAUCGGUCAUAGAUGGGCUCGCGUCUGAUUAGCUAGUUGGUGAGAUAACAGCCCACCAAGGCGACGAUCAGUAGCCGGUCUGAGAGGAUGAACGGCCACAUUGGAACUGAGACACGGUCCAAACUCCUACGGGAGGCAGCAGUGGGGAAUAUUGCACAAUGGGGGAAACCCUGAUGCAGCGACGCCGCGUGAACGAAGAAGGUAUUCGUAUCGUAAAGUUCUGUCCUAUGGGAAGAUAAUGACAGUACCAGAGAAGAAAGCUCCGGCUAAAUACGUG
This 478-nucleotide ribosomal RNA is filed under the name uncultured bacterium. RNAcentral describes it as "partial 16S ribosomal RNA". It matches the Rfam family "Bacterial small subunit ribosomal RNA", at positions 28 to 507 of the family's 1533-position model. The record is from RNAcentral.